Molecule: unclassified non-coding RNA, 1984 nt
Filed under: Acyrthosiphon pisum (pea aphid)
Lineage: Eukaryota; Metazoa; Arthropoda; Insecta; Hemiptera; Aphididae
Description: protein HEXIM, transcript variant X3
Source: RNAcentral
AAGUUUGACUGCUUUGGCUUGCGGACGUGCGUUCACCGUUCCUACGACUACGCCCCCCAAUCGAUAACGACACCGUUCGUUUUCGUUUGCCAAUUCGAACGUAAACCGUUCGCGUUACAAACGUCUAAUCCGUUUCCAGCCGAUUCCUACUAUCCACGACCGUUCCGAAAGACCUGGGAGACGCGCGACCAGGACAACAAAAACAACAACAAACAACAAUGGAAGAAGACCAAAAUGGCGUCGCCGCCGCAGUCGUCGGGCGGCCGCCAAACAGCGAAACCUGCGGAAUGAUCGUCAACCACGGUGGUGGCGGGGACGGGCCGACGGCUACAGCGGCGGCUGCGGCCGCAGCGCCACCGACACCAGCACUCCCAGCGGCGGCGGCAACAGCGUUCGGAGCCCCGGCGCGCCCAGCGCCACGGUACGGCGCCCAUCUCAACUGCAACAAUAACAAUUCGGUCAUCAAAGGGCAGCUAAAGGGUCCCGGUACUCUAGAUCACAGAAAUAGACGUACGCGUCGUGGUAAGCGUAAAAGCAGGAAGCAAACACCAUACAUGAAGGAUGGAAGAUUAUAUCGAGACAAAGCUGUGGCUCCCAACAACACUAAUCAGUUUUUAAUGGAUGAUCAUAAUGAUGGACCAGACAUAGAUAAAAAACUGUUAGCACGGUACAGCAAUGAAAAUGGGCGUACAAGAAAUUCAAGUUACACUAGUGUCGAAUCUGAAGGUGAUCAGUAUUCUUCAUCAUCAGAUGAUGGUACUUCAAUACAAAAGGAGUUUAUCGAUACCUACAGACUUGUUCAAGAAGAAGAAUUGGCGGUGUUAACUAAAAACGAACUCGUUCAGCGAGUGAUCGAGCUUGAAGAAAAAAUACAAAUGCAAGAGUCUAAUAAGAGGUUUAAAAAAAAUACGGUUACAUAUUUAAAUGGCACACCUAAAGAAGAAGAUGAAGAUAAUUCUAUUGAUAUAGAAGAAUAUAGAGCAUUGCAAGUACAGAAUAGAGAAUUGAUAACGCAAAACAAACUGCUGCAAGCCGAAAUUGAUGCUCUUAAACAAAUAAAAAGCAAGAUAAGAAAUAAUGAUUCAGAUAGCUCUAUAGAUAGUGAAAGUUCAUCAGACUCCAGUAGCUCUUCCAGUUCAUCAGAUGGACAAGAAAUAGAAAUGAAGUUCUUAUUACGGAGUACUGCUGGAACAGACGAUUGAUCAGUCAAGUACCAAAAUAAUGUUUAAUGUGAACUGUGAAGUUUGGCAGUGAUCACUGUAAUAUGGAAUUUAGUGAUAACUUGUACCUAACAUAUAACCACCAGAUUAAACAUCUGCAAAAAAAUGACAGCAACUGGUGUAUAUUGACGUCAGAAACAAAUUGUUUGCAGAAUAGACAACAUAGUUGGUACAGAGACAAAUUGUUCUAUUGAUAGUGAAUAGUCUUUAGACUAAGGUUUCAACUAAUGUGUGAUGACUUCAUGAGGCAAAAAACUGUAUUGAUGAUUCUGAAGUUUUUCCAAAGGCCAGAACGUGUGGUCAAAUAUCUCCAGGAAUUCACUAUUACUGAAUACAUAACUAUUAUCUACAGAUAAAUACAUUUUAUUUGUGAAUGAUAAUUAUUUCUCAACCAUACAUCUGAAUUAAAAAAAAAAUAUAUGUAGGAAGUUUUAAAUUUCAACAAUAAGUAUUUUUUUUUUUAACAAGGUUCAUAGUGAUGAAAUCUGAAUUAAAAUGAUUGAAAUUUAUUUUUUAAUUGUAUUACUUAUAUUAUUAUUUAUCAUGUUGUAUUUUUAUUAUUUGACAAAUAUCUCAUAUUAAGUCAACCAAAUUUAUAAUAAAAUCUUACAAUUUUUUUUUUUGUAAGACACAAAAUCACAUUUUUAAUAUUUGCUCUACCACCAAUGAAAACAAUAUGGAGUCAACAAAAUGUAUACUGGCAUUAUUAAGGUAUUGUAAACUGUAAACAUUUACUUAAAUUAUAUACAAAUUGUUAAAUGUUA